RNAcentral lists this transfer RNA (85 nucleotides) under Candidatus Curtissbacteria bacterium RBG_13_35_7. RNAcentral's name for it is "tRNA-Leu". It matches the Rfam family "tRNA". Rfam says of the family: Transfer RNA (tRNA) molecules are approximately 80 nucleotides in length. Their secondary structure includes four short double-helical elements and three loops (D, anti-codon, and T loops). The record is from RNAcentral. Lineage: Bacteria; Candidatus Curtissiibacteriota.
GGCUGGGUGCUGGAAUUGGUAGACAGUUACGUCUCAAAAACGUAUGCCCUUUCGGGGCGUGAGGGUUCGACUCCCUCCCCAGCCA